RNAcentral lists this ribosomal RNA (253 nucleotides) under uncultured bacterium. RNAcentral's name for it is "partial 16S ribosomal RNA". It matches the Rfam family "Bacterial small subunit ribosomal RNA", at positions 524 to 776 of the family's 1533-position model. The record is from RNAcentral.
UACGUAGGGUCCAAGCGUUAUCCGGAAUCACUGGGCGUAAAGCGUGCGCAGGUGGUCUGUUAAGUGAGAUGUUAAAUCGUGUGGCUCAACCAUAUCGAUGCAUCUCAUACUGGCAGACUAGAGGAAGGCAGAGGCAAGUGGAAUUGGUAGUGUAGCAGUGAAAUGCGUAGAUAUUACCAGGAACACCAAUGGCGAAGGCAGCUUGCUGGGCCUUAUCUGACACUCAGGCACGAAAGCGUGGGGAGCGAACAGG